This 1133-nucleotide long non-coding RNA is filed under the name Ricinus communis (castor bean). RNAcentral's name for it is "long non-coding RNA (RCOM_LNC001261)". Lineage: Eukaryota; Viridiplantae; Streptophyta; Magnoliopsida; Malpighiales; Euphorbiaceae. The record is from RNAcentral.
CUUAACUCUCAGCCUUAGCCUUUCGGCUCUCUUAUCCAAUAAGACUGGCGCCCAGAGAGCAUAGCUCGACCAGGGACCUUACCUCCAGUCUGGUCACUUAAAUUUUCAAAUAAGCCGGCGCCCAGAGAGCAAUGCUCGACCAGGGACCUUUACUCCGGCAACCACACUCUACUAAGCCUAGAGAGCGAUGCUCGACCAGGGCAGGUCCUAAUCUUUCUUUCUCAAAAUUUUUACCUCUUUACCCUUUUCCUAUCUCUCUCAUAUUAUAUUGGAACACUCAUCCAACUUCUAUGUUCUACUGCCGUCCCAUCCUGAGUCAUCAUGCAAUAUUAAAAUUGGUGAUAAAGGAAAAAUAUAUUUAAAUAGUAAUUAAAAGCAUCAUGAAAAUAAUGAUAAUAAUUAAAUGAAAAAUUAAAAUUGCAAAUGAAUAAUCACAGUAGCAAAUCAAAUUUUAUGCAUGACACGUGCAUAAGCGAUAUAUGACUUUAACUCACAGAAUUGGGCGACCUCCUAACUCUGCUCCGGUGCCUCAGUUGGAGCGAGCCGAACAGACAGAUCAUCUAAUCACGGAAAACAAUUUAUCAAAACGCUGAAACAAUCGAUCAUUAAUCCUAGGUCUAGACUCCUAAGACUGACUGUCUAAGAAUCUCGACUCGGGAAUUCUACCGAAAAUCCGGCAGAACCUCCCCUACAACACGAACAUUACCCCCCGUAAAAACGGGUCCAGGACCUGCCAGAAAAACACUCCAAAUAUCCAACAAUUUAAACAACGGGAGUCGGGUCCCCAAACUUCACUAUUUCCCGACUCCGCCACACAGCACAAAAUACGAGGCAGGCAAACUGACAGACAAUUAUUUUUGACUCACAAUAUCAUCAAAUACACAAUAUAAUCCAAUAGACACAAAUAAACCAAGAAUUUCUAAAAUUAACGGGCCAAAGAAAAUUACCGAGACGCUCGGUCGCUCGGUCGACUAGCCUCCAGCCGCCAGAGUCCGAUCGACGAUCCGAACACACCAUCGGACUCACAACGACGCGCUGAUGACGAUCCCAGCUUCCGAUUUUCCGAUCUGACACCCGAUCGUCCGAAAAAAUUUACGGACGAUCGCGGCCGUCGAUUUGCAAACGGAGCCCGA